RNAcentral lists this unclassified non-coding RNA (372 nucleotides) under uncultured Bacteroidia bacterium. Its description in RNAcentral is "contains 16S-23S intergenic spacer region". Lineage: Bacteria; Pseudomonadati; Bacteroidota; Bacteroidia. The record is from RNAcentral.
UCACCGCUUGCGCGGGCAGUUUCUCUAGAGUUCCCGGCAUUACCCGCUGGCAACUAGAGAUGAGGGUUGCGCUCGUUAUGGGACUUAACCCGACACCUCACGGCACGAGCUGACGACAACCAUGCAGCACCUUGCAGACCGUCCGAAGAAGUCCCGGUUUCCCGGGAUGUCGUUCUGCAUUCAAGUCCAGGUAAGGUUCCUCGCGUAUCAUCGAAUUAAACCACAUGCUCCACCGCUUGUGCGGGCCCCCGUCAAUUCCUUUGAGUUUCAACCUUGCGAUCGUACUCCCCAGGUGGAUUACUUAUCACUUUUGCUUAGGCACUGGCAGUAUAUCGCCAACACCGAGUAAUCAUCGUUUACAGCGUGGACUAC